UACGUAGGUGGCAAGCGUUGUCCGGAAUUAUUGGGCGUAAAGCGCGCGCAGGCGGUCCUUUAAGUCUGAUGUGAAAGCCUACGGCUCAACCGUGGAGGGUCAUUGGAAACUGGGGGACUUGAGUGCAGAAGAGGAAAGCGGAAUUCCACGUGUAGCGGUGAAAUGCGUAGAGAUGUGGAGGAACACCAGUGGCGAAGGCGACUUUCUGGUCUGUAACUGACGCUGAGGCGCGAAAGCGUGGGGAGCAAACAGG
This 253-nucleotide ribosomal RNA is filed under the name uncultured bacterium. RNAcentral's name for it is "partial 16S ribosomal RNA". It matches the Rfam family "Bacterial small subunit ribosomal RNA", at positions 524 to 776 of the family's 1533-position model. The record is from RNAcentral.